AUUGAACGCUGGCGGCAUGCCUAACACAUGCAAGUCGAGCGGUUACAGGCCGCUUGCUCCUGGCGUCAGCGGCAGGGGGGUGAAUAGUACCUAAAAGUAUGCCUGGGAGGGGGGUAUAGCAUCCGAAGACGUGCGCUAAUAGCGCAUGAGUUCUGGGGGAAAGAGGGGGGGCUCUUCGGAACUCUCGCUCUCAGACGUUCCGAGGUCGGAUUAGCUAGUUGGUGGGGUAAAGGCCUACCAAGGCGACGAUCCGUAGCUGGUCUGAGAGGAUGAUCAGUCACACUGGAACUGAGACACGGUCCAGACUCCUACGGGAGGCAGCAGUGGGGAAUAUUGGACAAUGGGCGAAAGCCUGAUCCAGCCAUGCCGCGUGUGUGAAGAAGGUCUUCGGAUUGUAAAGCACUUUAAGUUGGGAGGAAGGGGAGUAAGUUAAUACCGUGCUGUUUUGACGUUACCAGCAGAAUAAGCACCGGCUAACUUCGUG
RNAcentral lists this ribosomal RNA (484 nucleotides) under uncultured bacterium. RNAcentral's name for it is "partial 16S ribosomal RNA". It matches the Rfam family "Bacterial small subunit ribosomal RNA", at positions 30 to 507 of the family's 1533-position model. The record is from RNAcentral.